GAUGAACGCUGGCGGCGUGCCUAAUACAUGCGAGUCGAGCGAACAGAUGAGGAGCUUGCUCCUCUGACGUUAGCGGCGGACGGGUGAGUAACACGUGGAUAACCUACCUAUAAGACUGGGAUAACUUCGGGAAACCGGAGCUAAUACCGGAUAAUAUAUUGAACCGCAUGGUUCAAUAGUGAAAGACGGUUUUGCUGUCACUUAUAGAUGGAUCCGCGCCGCAUUAGCUAGUUGGUAGGGUAACGGCUUACCAAGGCAACGAUGCGUAGCCGACCUGAGAGGGUGAUCGGCCACACUGGAACUGAGACACGGUCCAGACUCCUACGGGAGGCAGCAGUAGGGAAUCUUCCGCAAUGGGCGAAAGCCUGACGGAGCAACGCCGCGUGAGUGAUGAAGGUCUUCGGAUCGUAAAACUCUGUUAUUAGGGAAGAACAAAUGUGUAAGUAACUAUGCACGUCUUGACGGUACCUAAUCAGAAAGCCACGGCUAACUACGUG
This 497-nucleotide ribosomal RNA is filed under the name uncultured bacterium. RNAcentral's name for it is "partial 16S ribosomal RNA". It matches the Rfam family "Bacterial small subunit ribosomal RNA", at positions 28 to 507 of the family's 1533-position model. The record is from RNAcentral.